CAGCAGCCACGGUAAUACGUAGGGUGCGAGCGUUAAUCGGAAUUACUGGGCGUAAAGCGUGCGCAGGCGGUUUUGUAAGACAGGCGUGAAAUCCCCGGGCUCAACCUGGGAAUGGCGCUUGUGACUGCAAAGCUAGAGUGCGGCAGAGGGGGAUGGAAUUCCGCGUGUAGCAGUGAAAUGCGUAGAUAUGCGGAGGAACACCGAUGGCGAAGGCAAUCCCCUGGGCCUGCACUGACGCUCAUGCACGAAAGCGUGGGGAGCAAACAGGAUUAGAUACCCGCGUAGUCCCUGUCUCUUAUAC
RNAcentral lists this ribosomal RNA (301 nucleotides) under uncultured bacterium. Its description in RNAcentral is "partial 16S ribosomal RNA". It matches the Rfam family "Bacterial small subunit ribosomal RNA", at positions 509 to 807 of the family's 1533-position model. The record is from RNAcentral.